Molecule: ribosomal RNA, 719 nt
Filed under: uncultured Actinomycetes bacterium
Lineage: Bacteria; Bacillati; Actinomycetota; Actinomycetes
Description: bacterial SSU rRNA
Rfam family: Bacterial small subunit ribosomal RNA
Source: RNAcentral
GAUGAACGCUGGCGGCGUGCUUAACACAUGCAAGUCGAACGAUGAUGGGAGCUUGCUCCUGGAUUAGUGGCGAACGGGUGAGUAACACGUGAGUAACCUGCCCUUAACUCUGGGAUAAGCCUGGGAAACUGGGUCUAAUACCGGAUAUGACUCCUCAUCGCAUGGUGGGGGGUGGAAAGCUUUAUUGUGGUUUUGGAUGGACUCGCGGCCUAUCAGCUUGUUGGUGAGGUAAUGGCUUACCAAGGCGACGACGGGUAGCCGGCCUGAGAGGGUGACCGGCCACACUGGGACUGAGACACGGCCCAGACUCCUACGGGAGGCAGCAGUGGGGAAUAUUGCACAAUGGGCGCAAGCCUGAUGCAGCGACGCCGCGUGAGGGAUGACGGCCUUCGGGUUGUAAACCUCUUUCAGUAGGGAAGAAGCGAAAGUGACGGUACCUGCAGAAGAAGCGCCGGCUAACUACGUGCCAGCAGCCGCGGUAAUACGUAGGGCGCAAGCGUUAUCCGGAAUUAUUGGGCGUAAAGAGCUCGUAGGCGGUUUGUCGCGUCUGCCGUGAAAGUCCGGGGCUCAACUCCGGAUCUGCGGUGGGUACGGGCAGACUAGAGUGAUGUAGGGGAGACUGGAAUUCCUGGUGUAGCGGUGAAAUGCGCAGAUAUCAGGAGGAACACCGAUGGCGAAGGCAGGUCUCUGGGCAUUAACUGACGCUGAGGAGCGAAAGC